GCCCCACGCCCGGAGUUGUCUUUCCUCUGGGCCCCGGGUCCCCUGCCACACCGCCCCUUCCGGCCCCGCGGCGGGAAGACGCCAGGCAAGGCCGGCCUCCGGCUGCUGAGCUCGGCGGGGAAGGGACUGAGGCUGCACACCCCGAAGAGUGGCUGUGGGACGAUUCCGCACAGCCCCGACGGGAGCAGGUUUCGCGCCACACUCACCCAGUGCGCGGCGCACAAUGGCGACCGUCGGCCCGCGGCGAAAUGCGUCAGCGCGUCGGCCUGGACUACAACUCCCAGCCACCCCUGCGGCGAGCCCGCCCGACCUCGCCCAGGCGGCGGCCAUCUUGGCUGGCCGUGUCGGUGGGCCGGCGAAGCCCGGGCCGCCCCGAAGAGAGCAUUUCAGAUUGUUUCAUGUGAAGGGGAACCCAUGUUUAAAAGUCACAAAGAAGAAAGGCACAUCUCUUUGUCUUUAAAACACAGGCCUGGGCGCCUGGGUGGCUCAGUCGUUAAGCAUCUGCCUUCGGCUCAGGUCAUGAUCCCCGGGUCCUGGGAUCGAGCCCCACAUCGGGCUCCCUGCUCACUCUGCGGGAAGACUGCUUCUCCCUCUCCCACUCCGCCUGCUUGUGUUCCCUCUCUCACUAUGUCUCUAUCUGUCAAAUAAAUAAAAUCUUUAAAAAAAGAAAAAGUUUAAAACAACAACAACAACAACACAGGCUUCUAGGACACGUCUCAGAACUCCUCAGACCUUUAGAACUUGAAGUUGGAGAAGCAGGAAUAAAUCAGCAUUUUACCUAUAAAUUAUUACUAUAUAAAUAGUAAUACUAUGUAAAUAAAUAUACAUAAAAUAUCUGGGAUUAAUUUGUUGGGAAAUUCAGGGGACCUACAUGAAAAGUUUCUGGAAAGAGUUACAAGUAAACUUGCAUAAAUAAAAAUGCUUAUCAUGUUCCAGGAUGGGAAGUCCAAUUGUAAAUCCCAAAUGAUCACUAGGCUCAGUUCAAGAGGAAACAGGAUUAUAGCAGGGCCCUUUGGGAUUCUGGACCUUGGACUUUACUCUGUAUUUCCUUCUUCCUCAAAGUGUGAGGAAAGGAACUGACUAGUUUUUCACAAGAACAGUCAAGAUUGGUGCGCAUGGGUGGUACAGUGAGUUAAGCGUCCAACUCUUGGUUUCUGCUCAGGUCGUGAUCUCAGGGUCAUGGGAUCAAGCCCUGUGUCGAGCCCCGAGUUGGGCUCCAAGCUCAGAGUGGAGUCUGCUUAAGACUCUCCCUUUCCCUCUGCCCCUCCCCACCCACUCUCUCUCAAAUAAAUAAAUCUUAAAAAAAAAAGAACAACAAUCAAGAUGGAUUCAAACUCAUCUUAAGAAGAAAUGGUCCCAGAAACUACUACUUCAAAAAUGUCCCUUGUUUUUUUGCCAAUAAAUUUAGACUUCAUCCAUAGCAUACAGUUGUAAUCAGAACAUUCUUUUAUGGUGGUGGUGGGAGACUCAUUUUGUGGUUCAGCAAAUUGGCACAUUUUUUAGAUAGAGGUGUGUGGUUUGUUUCAAGCACUUAUGUCCCCUACUAUGAAGAGGGACUUGAGGGAGAGACUGUACCCAUGUCUGCAUGUGUAAUUUGAUGAAUGCACCAUCUUGCCUUGGUCCCACUCUGUGUUUUCACAUCAUACCCAUGGUCUCUGAAAUGUCUCUCUGCCUUCUCUGCAGCCCCUUGACUGUGCCUCAGAUUGCAACUGAGAUGACUUGGCUCUUCCUGCUGAUUGCCAUGGAUCUGUGCUCUUUGUGGGGUGUCCACCUCCUGAGGGUUGGCUCUAAAUCAAGUGAGCAAGGGUCAGCCUGAGCUUGUGGAACUUGGUUACCUGUGAUGGCUACUUCCCUCCCUAAAUCGUGUUUCACCAUGACUGAGGAAGAGACUUGAAAGUAGAAGCUGGUUGGGAGCAAGAAAGGGUUAUAAUUCAAGAAAUUUGUGGUGCCCCCCCACCAAGUAACAAAAUAUGCCACGAUUCAUUAUCUGACCAUAAAAUCCAGAAGCAAAGGGCUUCCAGGGAUAGUCCCUGGGCUCUUCUAUCACCUUUAGCCAGGUACUGUCCAUCUUUUGGUUCAACCCUCCUUAGUGUAUUGACUUGGUUCUUUCUAAGGCUUGUGUCCCCAUGGUCUCAAAGUGGUUA
RNAcentral lists this long non-coding RNA (2144 nucleotides) under Zalophus californianus (California sea lion). RNAcentral describes it as "lncRNA (ENSZCAG00015018540.1)". Lineage: Eukaryota; Metazoa; Chordata; Mammalia; Carnivora; Otariidae. The record is from RNAcentral.